This is a long non-coding RNA of Penaeus monodon (black tiger shrimp), 480 nucleotides long. RefSeq lists it as uncharacterized. The record is from RefSeq and is a predicted model, not a curated record. NCBI's taxonomy places the organism in Eukaryota, Metazoa, Arthropoda, Malacostraca, Decapoda, Penaeidae. The transcript has 2 exons.
CGAGUUGGACGAGCAGUCUCGAAGGCAGCAUUCCAUAACAAUAUCACCACCGGAGGUCAUGUGAGGUUGAACACUACAAAAGAGAUUUUUUAUUCUUCGUUCGUUUUAAGUAACUGACGGCCGAGGAUGAUUAGGGAUACAAAAUACAUCAGAAUCAAGUCUACGUAGCAAGAGAGACUCAGGGAAACAGCAAGAGGAUCAGAUAAAUCAGUAGCAGAACUUUACAGACUCAGCGAGGACCGCGUCCCUACGGGAUAGAGUCAAGAACGGGGUCGGUUUAUAACUAGCGAAAAGUUCCGUCCAUUGGCAAUAUUGCAGUGUACACUUUUAGGCGGGAUGGUAUAUUAUAGUAGACUAAGAAAAUGCACUUCGUUCCUACAUUUUUUCUUCAUCUUCCGUUUUUAUGUUUUUUUUUUUCUCCCAUCCACUUGCUCCAUGCACGUAUUUUGGACAUUAUGAAUAUGUAGCUUUAGAAAAAAA